Molecule: ribosomal RNA, 477 nt
Filed under: uncultured bacterium
Lineage: Bacteria
Description: partial 16S ribosomal RNA
Rfam family: Bacterial small subunit ribosomal RNA
Source: RNAcentral
AUGAACGCUGGCGGCGUGCUUAACACAUGCAAGUCGAACGAGAAGUGAAGACGGAAACCUUCGGGCGGAAGGCUUUAUUUCGAGUGGCGGACGGGUGAGUAACGCGUGGGUAACCUGCCUCAUACAGGGGGAUAACAGUUGGAAACGACUGUUAAUACCGCAUAAGACCGCAGCACCGCAUGGUGCGGGGGUAAAAACUCCGGUGGUAUGAGAUGGACCCGCGUUCGAUUAGCCAGUUGGCGGGGUAACGGCCCACCAAAGCGACGAUCGAUAGCCGAUCUGAGAGGAUGACCGGCCACAUUGGGACUGAGACACGGCCCAAACUCCUACGGGAGGCAGCAGUGGGGAAUAUUGCACAAUGGGGGAAACCCUGAUGCAGCGACGCCGCGUGAGUGAAGAAGUAUUUCGGUAUGUAAAGCUCUAUCAGCAGGGAAGAAAAUGACGGUACCUGAGUAAGAAGCCCCGGCUAACUACGUG